This 253-nucleotide ribosomal RNA is filed under the name uncultured bacterium. RNAcentral's name for it is "partial 16S ribosomal RNA". It matches the Rfam family "Bacterial small subunit ribosomal RNA", at positions 524 to 776 of the family's 1533-position model. The record is from RNAcentral.
UACGGAGGGGGCUAGCGUUGUUCGGAAUUGCUGGGCGUAAAGCGCACGUAGGCGGACUGUUAAGUCGGGGGUGAAAUCCUGGGGCUCAACCUCAGAAUUGCCUCCGAUACUGGCAGUCUCGAGUGCGGGAGAGGUGAGUGGAAUUCCCAGUGUAGAGGUGAAAUUCGUAGAUAUUGGGAAGAACACCAGUGGCGAAGGCGGCUCACUGGCCCGUAACUGACGCUGAGGUGCGAAAGCCAGGGGAGCAAACGGG